UAACGCGUGGGUAACCUGCCCUAUACACAUGGAUAACAUACUGAAAAGUUUACUAAUACAUGAUAAUAUAUAUUUACGGCAUCGUAGAUAUAUCAAAGUGUUAGCGGUAUAGGAUGGACCCGCGUCUGAUUAGCUAGUUGGUGAGAUAACUGCCCACCAAGGCGACGAUCAGUAGCCGACCUGAGAGGGUGAUCGGCCACAUUGGAACUGAGACACGGUCCAAACUCCUACGGGAGGGCAGCAGAC
This 246-nucleotide ribosomal RNA is filed under the name uncultured Peptostreptococcus sp. RNAcentral describes it as "partial 16S ribosomal RNA". It matches the Rfam family "Bacterial small subunit ribosomal RNA", at positions 111 to 357 of the family's 1533-position model. Lineage: Bacteria; Bacillati; Bacillota; Clostridia; Peptostreptococcales; Peptostreptococcaceae. The record is from RNAcentral.